Molecule: ribosomal RNA, 1354 nt
Filed under: uncultured bacterium
Lineage: Bacteria
Description: partial 16S ribosomal RNA
Rfam family: Bacterial small subunit ribosomal RNA
Source: RNAcentral
GCCUUACACAUGCAAGUCGAACGGCAGCACGGGAGCUUGCUCCUGGUGGCGAGUGGCGAACGGGUGAGUAAUAUAUCGGACCGUGCCUUGUGGUGGGGGAUAACUAGACAAAAUAUUAUCUAAUACCGCACACCCCCUGAGGGGGAAAGUAGGGGAUCUUCGGACCUUACGUUAUAAGAGCGGCCGAUAUCUGAUUAGCUAGUUGGGGGGGUAAUGGCCUACCAAGGCGACGAUCAGUAGCUGGUCUGAGAGGACCACCACCCACACUGGAACUGAGACACGGUCCAGACUCCUACGGGAGGCAGCAGUGGGGAAUUUUGGACAAUGGGCGCAAGCCUGAUCCAGCCAUUCCGCGUGAGUGAAGAAGGCCUUCGGGUUGUAAAGCUCUUUCGCAAGGGAAGAAAACUUACUUUCUAAUAAAGAGUGAGGCUGACGGUACCUUGAUAAGAAGCACCGGCUAACUACGUGCCAGCAGCCGCGGUAAUACGUAGGGUGCGAGCGUUAAUCGGAAUUACUGGGCGUAAAGCGUGCGCAGGCGGUUUGGCAAGUCAGAUGUGAAAUCCCCGAGCUCAACUUGGGAACUGCGUUUGAAACUGCCAGACUAGAAUAUGUCAGAGGGGGGUAGAAUUCCACGUGUAGCAGUGAAAUGCGUAGAGAUGUGGAGGAAUACCAAUGGCGAAGGCAGCCCCCUGGGAUAAUAUUGACGCUCAUGCACGAAAGCGUGGGGAGCAAACAGGAUUAGAUACCCUGGUAGUCCACGCCCUAAACGAAGUUUUAUUGUUGUCGGGACUUAAUUGUCUUGGUAACGCAGCUAAGGCGUGAAGUAGACCGCCUGGGGAGUACGGUCGCAAGAUUAAAACUCAAAGGAAUUGACGGGGACCCGCACAAGCGGUGGAUGAUGUGGAUUAAUUCGAUGCAACGCGAAAAACCUUACCUACCCUUGACAUGUACGGAACCUCUGAGAGAUUAGAGGGUGCUCGAAAGAGAGCCGUAACACAGGUGCUGCAUGGCUGUCGUCAGCUCGUGUCGUGAGAUGUUGGGUUAAGUCCCGCAACGAGCGCAACCCUUGUCAUUAGUUGCUACGAAAGGGCACUCUAAUGAGACUGCCGGUGACAAACCGGAGGAAGGUGGGGAUGACGUCAAGUCCUCAUGGCCCUUAUGGGUAGGGCUUCACACGUCAUACAAUGGUACAUACAGAGGGCCGCCAACCCGCGAGGGGGAGCUAAUCCCAGAAAGUGUAUCGUAGUCCGGAUUGUAGUCUGCAACUCGACUACAUGAAGUUGGAAUCGCUAGUAAUCGCGGAUCAGCAUGUCGCGGUGAAUACGUUCCCGGGUCUUGUACUCACCGCCCGUCA